AUGACCGAUGCCAAAAUACCCGACGCGCAAUACGGAUUGGAAAAGGCUCUGACCUUCACGCUCGCCGCUCAUGCCGGCGCAAAUCGCCUGUGUGAGUUCGG
Ruegeria meonggei is the source of this 101-nucleotide non-coding RNA. The record is from Rfam. NCBI's taxonomy places the organism in Bacteria, Pseudomonadati, Pseudomonadota, Alphaproteobacteria, Rhodobacterales, Roseobacteraceae.